RNAcentral lists this ribosomal RNA (885 nucleotides) under uncultured bacterium. RNAcentral's name for it is "bacterial SSU rRNA". It matches the Rfam family "Bacterial small subunit ribosomal RNA", at positions 16 to 911 of the family's 1533-position model. The record is from RNAcentral.
AUCAUGGCUCAGAAUGAACGUGAGCGGCGUGGAUUAGGCAUGCAAGUCGUGCGGAAAGGCUCCUUCGGGAGUACUCGAGCGGCGAAAGGGAGAGUAACGCGUGGAUAUCUACCCUCGGAUCUGGGAUAGCGGUGGGAAACUGCCGGUAAUACCAGAUAACGUCUCCGGACCAAAGGUGUGAUUCCGUCCGAGGAUGAGUCCGCGUCCUAUUAGCUUGUUGGUGGGGUAAUGGCCUACCAAGGCUGUGAUGGGUACCGGGUGUGAGAGCAUGGCCCGGCUCACUGGGACUGAGACACUGCCCGGACACCUACGGGUGGCUGCAGUCGAGAAUCUUCGGCAAUGGGCGCAAGCCUGACCGAGCGACGCCGCGUGCGGGAUGAAGGCCUUCGGGUUGUAAACCGCUGUCAGAGGGGAGGAAAUGCAUGAGGGUUCUCUCUCAUGUUUGACCGAUCCUCAGAGGAAGUACGGGCUAAGUUCGUGCCAGCAGCCGCGGUAAUACGAACCGUACGAACGUUAUUCGGAAUCACUGGGCUUAAAGAGUGCGUAGGCGGCCUGGUAAGUUGGGUGUGAAAGCCCUCGGCUCAACCGAGGAAUUGCGCCCAAAACUACUAGGCUUGAGGGAGGCGGAGGUAAGCGGAACUAAUGGUGGAGCGGUGAAAUGCGUUGAUAUCAUUAGGAACACCUGAGGCGAAAGCAGCUUACUGGGCCUCUUCUGACGCUGAGGCACGAAAGCUAGGGGAGCGAACGGGAUUAGAUACCCCGGCAGUCCUAGCUGUAAACGAUGAGCACUGGAUUGAGGGGACUUCCACAUCUUCUCGGUCGUAGCGAAAGUGUUAAGUGCUCCGCCUGGGGAGUAUGGUCGCAAGGCUGAAACUCAAAGGAAAU